AAGAGGGUAGCCGAAGCAAAGGCGUCUAGCUGUUAACUAGAAGGUGUGGAUUAAUAAGCCCCUCUUU
This 67-nucleotide transfer RNA is filed under the name Talonostrea talonata. RNAcentral describes it as "Crassostrea talonata tRNA-Asn". It matches the Rfam family "tRNA". Rfam says of the family: Transfer RNA (tRNA) molecules are approximately 80 nucleotides in length. Their secondary structure includes four short double-helical elements and three loops (D, anti-codon, and T loops). Lineage: Eukaryota; Metazoa; Mollusca; Bivalvia; Ostreida; Ostreidae. The record is from RNAcentral.